AGAGUUUGAUUAUGGCUCAGGACGAACGCUGGCGGCGUGCUUCAUACAUGCAAGUCGAACGAGAAUCUCUAGCUUGCUAGAGAGGAAAGUGGCGGACGGGUGAGUAAUGUGUAGAGAAUCUGCCCUUUAGAGGGGGACAACAGUUGGAAACGACUGCUAAUACCCCAUAUGAGCGUACCUGAAAUGGUAUUCUUGAAAACUCCGGUGCUAAAGGAUGAGUCUGCACCUGAUUAGCUAGUAGGCGGUGUAAUGGACCACCUAGGCGACGAUCAGUAGCUGGUUUGAGAGGAUGAUCAGCCACAAUGGGACUGAGACACGGCCCAUACUCCUACGGGAGGCAGCAGUAGGGAAUUUUGCGCAAUGGGGGAAACCCUGAACCGCAGCAACGCCGCGUGAAUGAAGAAGCCCUUCGGGGUGUAAAGUUCUGUCAGUGGGGACGAAACUUGACGGUACCCACAGAGGAAGCAUCGGCUAACUCCGUGCCAGCAGCGGC
RNAcentral lists this ribosomal RNA (493 nucleotides) under uncultured bacterium. RNAcentral describes it as "bacterial SSU rRNA". It matches the Rfam family "Bacterial small subunit ribosomal RNA", at positions 8 to 518 of the family's 1533-position model. The record is from RNAcentral.